GAGUUUGAUCGUGGCUCAGGGUUAACGCUGGCGGUGCGCAUAACACAUGCAAGUCGAGCGAGGGCUUAUUUCUCGCAAGAGAGAUGAGUUCCUAGCGGCGAACGGGUGAGUAACACGUGGGCAACCUUUCCUAUCGCGGGGGAUAACACCGGGAAACCGAUGCUAAUACCGCAUGUCGUCACUGGUCGCAUGGCUGGUGAAGAAAGCAGCAAUGCACGAUGGGGUGGCCCGCGGCCUAUCAGCUAGUCGGUGGGGUAACGGCCUACCGAGGCGAUGACGGGUAGCUGGUCUGAGAGGACGGCCAGCCACACGGGGACUGAGACACGGCCCCGACUCCUACGGGAGGCAGCAGUGAGGAAUCUUCCGCAAUGGGCGAAAGCCUGACGGAGCGACACCGCGUGUGGGAUGAAGUCUUUCGGGAUGUAAACCACUGUCGGAGGGGAAGACGAAAAAGACGGUACCCUCCAAGAAAGCCCGGCUAACUACGUGCCAGCCGCCGCGGUAA
Molecule: ribosomal RNA, 505 nt
Filed under: uncultured bacterium
Lineage: Bacteria
Description: bacterial SSU rRNA
Rfam family: Bacterial small subunit ribosomal RNA
Source: RNAcentral